RNAcentral lists this long non-coding RNA (210 nucleotides) under Nicotiana benthamiana. RNAcentral's name for it is "long non-coding RNA (NBEN_LNC012674)". Lineage: Eukaryota; Viridiplantae; Streptophyta; Magnoliopsida; Solanales; Solanaceae. The record is from RNAcentral.
UGUUAUUUUAUUGUGACUAUUGAUGGUACUAAUAUAUCACCUCUGAACGUCUUCUUGAGCCGAUGGUCUCUUGGAAACAACCUCUUUGCCCCUCGGAGUAAGGGUAAGAUCUGCAUGCGCAUUACCAUCCCGACACCCCACUAAUGGAUUACACUGGGCUGUUAUCGUUGUUGUUAUUGACCUUAUAAGUUGAGAUGUUUCUUCUUUUUA